GACGAACGCUGGCGGCGUGCCUAAUACAUGCAAGUAGAACGCUGAAGAGAGGAGCUUGCUCUUCUCGGAUGAGUUGCGAACGGGUGAGUAACGCGUAGGUAACCUGCCUUGUAGCGGGGGAUAACUAUUGGAAACGAUAGCUAAUACCGCAUAACAAUGGGUGACACAUGUCAUUUAUUUGAAAGGGGCAAUUGCUCCACUACAAGAUGGACCUGCGUUGUAUUAGCUAGUAGGUGAGGUAACGGCUCACCUAGGCGACGAUACAUAGCCGACCUGAGAGGGUGAUCGGCCACACUGGGACUGAGACACGGCCCAGACUCCUACGGGAGGCAGCAGUAGGGAAUCUUCGGCAAUGGGGGCAACCCUGACCGAGCAACGCCGCGUGAGUGAAGAAGGUUUUCGGAUCGUAAAGCUCUGUUGUAAGUCAAGAACGAGUGUGAGAGUGGAAAGUUCACACUGUGACGGUAGCUUACCAGAAAGGGACGGCUAACUACGUGCCAGCAGCCGCGGUAAUACGUAGGUCCCGAGCGUUGUCCGGAUUUAUUGGGCGUAAAGCGAGCGCAGGCGGUUUGAUAAGUCUGAAGUUAAAGGCUGUGGCUCAACCAUAGUUCGCUUUGGAAACUGUCAAACUUGAGUGCAGAAGGGGAGAGUGGAAUUCCAUGUGUAGCGGUGAAAUGCGUAGAUAUAUGGAGGAACACCGGUGGCGAAAGCGGCUCUCUGGUCUGUAACUGACGCUGAGGCUCGAAAGCGUGGGGAGCGAACAGG
This 765-nucleotide ribosomal RNA is filed under the name uncultured Streptococcus sp. RNAcentral describes it as "bacterial SSU rRNA". It matches the Rfam family "Bacterial small subunit ribosomal RNA", at positions 28 to 776 of the family's 1533-position model. The record is from RNAcentral. Lineage: Bacteria; Bacillati; Bacillota; Bacilli; Lactobacillales; Streptococcaceae.